RNAcentral lists this ribosomal RNA (505 nucleotides) under Photobacterium phosphoreum. Its description in RNAcentral is "bacterial LSU rRNA". It matches the Rfam family "Bacterial large subunit ribosomal RNA", at positions 947 to 1451 of the family's 2925-position model. The record is from RNAcentral. Lineage: Bacteria; Pseudomonadati; Pseudomonadota; Gammaproteobacteria; Vibrionales; Vibrionaceae.
UUGCAAACUCCGAAUACCAGUAAGUAAUAUCCGGGAGACACACGGCGGGUGCUAACGUCCGUCGUGAAGAGGGAAACAACCCAGACCGCCAGCUAAGGUCCCAAAGUUAUAGCUAAGUGGGAAACGAUGUGGGAAGGCUCAGACAGCAGGAUGUUGGCUUAGAAGCAGCCAUCAUUUAAAGAAAGCGUAAUAGCUCACUGGUCGAGUCGGCCUGCGCGGAAGAUUUAACGGGGCUAAGCUAUACACCGAAGCUGCGGCAAUAUGAAUUCGUUCAUAUUGGGUAGGGGAGCGUUCUGUAAGCCGUUGAAGGUGCAUUGUAAAGUGUGCUGGAGGUAUCAGAAGUGCGAAUGCUGACAUGAGUAACGAUAAAGGGAGUGAAAAACUCCCUCGCCGGAAGAUCAAGGGUUCCUGUCCAACGUUAAUCGGGGCAGGGUAAGUCGACCCCUAAGGCGAGGCCGAAAGGCGUAGUCGAUGGGAAACGGGUUAAUAUUCCCGUACUUCUUAU